GGAGCCGUAGCGUAAUGGUUAACGCGUUGCUUUCCGGUCCACUUGCUGAUUGGCAAAGAUUCCAGGUUCGAAUCCUGGCGGUUUCG
This is a non-coding RNA of Truncatella angustata, 86 nucleotides long. NCBI's taxonomy places the organism in Eukaryota, Fungi, Ascomycota, Sordariomycetes, Amphisphaeriales, Sporocadaceae. The record is from the annotation of a RefSeq genome assembly.